GACGAACGCUGGCGGCGUGCUUAACACAUGCAAGUCGAACGGAAAGGCCCUGCUUUUGUGGGGUGCUCGAGUGGCGAACGGGUGAGUAACACGUGAGUAACCUGCACUUGACUUUGGGAUAACUUCAGGAAACUGGGGCUAAUACCGGAUAGGAGCUCCUGCUGCAUGGUGGGGGUUGGAAAGAUCCGGCGGUUGGGGAUGGACUCGCGGGUUAUCAGCUUGAUGGUGGGGUAGGGGCUUACCAAGGCUUUGACGGGUAGCCGGCCUGAGAGGGUGACCGGGGACAUGGGUACUGCGAUAGGGACCAGACGCGUACGGGAGGCAGUGGGGGGGAAUAUGGCAGAAUGGGCGGAAGCCUGUGAUGGAAACGCCGCGUUCGUGAAGCCGGCCUUCGAGUUGUAAACCGAUUUCUCAUGUGACGUAGCGUGAUUGACGGUAAUGGGUAAGGAAGCACCGGCUAACUACGUG
Molecule: ribosomal RNA, 468 nt
Filed under: uncultured bacterium
Lineage: Bacteria
Description: partial 16S ribosomal RNA
Rfam family: Bacterial small subunit ribosomal RNA
Source: RNAcentral